Molecule: ribosomal RNA, 253 nt
Filed under: uncultured bacterium
Lineage: Bacteria
Description: partial 16S ribosomal RNA
Rfam family: Bacterial small subunit ribosomal RNA
Source: RNAcentral
GACAGAGGGGGCAAGCGUUGCUCGGAAUCACUGGGCGUAAAGAGCUCGUAGGCGGCCUGUUGCGUCCGCUGUGAAAGCCCGGGGCUUAACCCCGGGUCGGCAGUGGAUACGGGCAGGCUAGAGGUAGGUAGGGGAGAAUGGAAUUCCCGGUGUAGCGGUGAAAUGCGCAGAUAUCGGGAGGAACGCCGGUGGCGAAGGCAGUUCUCUGGGCCUUACCUGACGCUGAGGAGCGAAAGCGUGGGGAGCGAACAGG